CCCUUAGAUGUUCGGGGCCGCACGCGCGCUACACUGAAGGAAUCAGCACGUCUUUCUCCUUGUCCGAAAGGACUGGGUAACCCGCUGAACCUCCUUCGUGCUAGGGAUUGGGGCUUGUAAUUCUUCCCCAUGAACGAGGAAUUCCCAGUAAGCGCGAGUCAUAAGCUCGCGUUGAUUACGUCCCUGCCCUUUGUACACACCGCCCGUCGCUACUACCGAUUGGAUGGUUUAGUGAGAUCCUCGGAUUGGUCCCGGAGCGGCCUCUGGUCGUGCCGGAGUGCCGAAAAGAAUGUCGAACUUGAUCAUCUAGAGGAAGCAAAAGUCGUAACA
RNAcentral lists this ribosomal RNA (330 nucleotides) under uncultured eukaryote. Its description in RNAcentral is "partial 18S ribosomal RNA". It matches the Rfam family "Eukaryotic small subunit ribosomal RNA", at positions 1470 to 1796 of the family's 1831-position model. The record is from RNAcentral.